UACGAAGGGGGCUAGCGUUGUUCGGAAUUACUGGGCGUAAAGGGCGCGUAGGCGGCUGUGCAAGUCAGAUGUGAAAGCCCUGGGCUCAACCCAGGAUGUGCAUUUGAUACCGCGCGGCUAGAGUGUCGGAGAGGAUGGUGGAAUUCCCAGUGUAGAGGUGAAAUUCGUAGAUAUUGGGAAGAACACCGGUGGCGAAGGCGACCAUCUGGACGACAACUGACGCUGAGGCGCGAAAGCGUGGGGAGCAAACAGG
This 253-nucleotide ribosomal RNA is filed under the name uncultured bacterium. RNAcentral describes it as "partial 16S ribosomal RNA". It matches the Rfam family "Bacterial small subunit ribosomal RNA", at positions 524 to 776 of the family's 1533-position model. The record is from RNAcentral.